RNAcentral lists this microRNA precursor (99 nucleotides) under Columba livia (rock pigeon). RNAcentral's name for it is "microRNA cli-mir-1729 precursor". The stretch from base 15 to 84 matches the Rfam family "mir-1729 microRNA precursor family". The record is from miRBase by way of RNAcentral. Lineage: Eukaryota; Metazoa; Chordata; Aves; Columbiformes; Columbidae.
UAGACAGGCCUGAUCCUGCAUCCCUUACUCACGUGAGCAGUCGUCUCUAUUUCACGGGACUACUCGGUGAGUAAGGAUCGCAGGACUGGGACCACUACC